CGCACGGCGCACGGGUGCGUAACACGUGGGUAACCUGCCCUCCAAAGGGGGAUAACCCGCCGAAAGGCGGGCUAAUACCGCAUGACAUUCCGGUGGCUUCGGCCGCUGGAAUCAAAGCCCGCAAGGGCGUUGGAGGAGGGGCCCGCGGCCGAUUAGCUUGUUGGCGAGGUAACGGCUCACCAAGGCUUUGAUCGGUAGCCGGUCUGAGAGGAUGGCCGGCCACACUGGAACUGAGACACGGUCCAGACUCCUACGGGAGGCAGCAGUGGGGAAUCUUGCGCAAUGGGCGAAAGCCUGACGCACCGACGCCGCGUGGGGGAUGAAGCUUCUCGGAGUGUAAACCCCUUUCGACCCGGACGAAACGCCCGCAAGGGCUUGACGGUACGGGUAUAAGAAGCCCCGGCUAACUACGUGCCAGCAGCCGCGGUAAGACGUAGGGGGCCAGCGUUGCUCGGAAUUACUGGGCGUAAAGGGUUCGUAGGCGGUGUGGUAAGUCGGAAGUGAAAUCUCUGGGCUUAACUCAGAGGCUGCUUUCGA
RNAcentral lists this ribosomal RNA (537 nucleotides) under uncultured bacterium. Its description in RNAcentral is "bacterial SSU rRNA". It matches the Rfam family "Bacterial small subunit ribosomal RNA", at positions 92 to 630 of the family's 1533-position model. The record is from RNAcentral.